RNAcentral lists this ribosomal RNA (253 nucleotides) under uncultured bacterium. RNAcentral's name for it is "partial 16S ribosomal RNA". It matches the Rfam family "Bacterial small subunit ribosomal RNA", at positions 524 to 776 of the family's 1533-position model. The record is from RNAcentral.
UACGUAGGGUGCGAGCGUUGUCCGGAUUUAUUGGGCGUAAAGAGCUCGUAGGCGGUUUGUCGCGUCGGCCGUGAAAUCUCCACGCUUAACGUGGAGCGUGCGGUCGAUACGGGCAGACUUGAGUUCGGUAGGGGAGACUGGAAUUCCUGGUGUAGCGGUGAAAUGCGCAGAUAUCAGGAGGAACACCGGUGGCGAAGGCGGGUCUCUGGGCCGAUACUGACGCUGAUGAGCGAAAGCCAGGGGAGCAAACGGG